GGUGAAGAACGCAGCGAAAUGCGAUAAGUAAUGUGAAUUGCAGAAUUCAGUGAAUCAUCGAAUCUUUGAACGCACAUUGCGCCCCUUGGUAUUCCGAGGGGCAUGCCUGUUCGAGCGUCAUUAUAACCCCUCAAGCUCAGCUUGGUGUUGGGGCCUGCUGCACUGGCAGCCCUUAAAAUCAGUGGCGGCGCCAUCUGGCUCUAAGCGUAGUAAUUCUUCUCGCUAUGGAGUCCUGGUGGAUGCUUGCCAUCAACCCCCAAUUUUUCUAUGGUUGACCUCGGAUCAGGUAGGGAUACCCGCUGAACUUAAGCAUAUCAAUAGGCGGAGGA
RNAcentral lists this unclassified non-coding RNA (329 nucleotides) under soil metagenome. Its description in RNAcentral is "partial contains 5.8S ribosomal RNA, internal transcribed spacer 2, and large subunit ribosomal RNA". The stretch from base 3 to 120 matches the Rfam family "5.8S ribosomal RNA", at positions 37 to 154 of the family's 154-position model. The record is from RNAcentral.